UGGGGAAUUUUGGACAAUGGGCGAAAGCCUGAUCCAGCAAUGCCGCGUGUGUGAAGAAGGCCUUCGGGUUGUAAAGCACUUUUGUCCGGAAAGAAAUCCUUGGCUCUAAUACAGUCGGGGGAUGACGGUACCGGAAGAAUAAGCACCGGCUAACUACGUGCCAGCAGCCGCGGUAAUACGUAGGGUGCAAGCGUUAAUCGGAAUUACUGGGCGUAAAGCGUGCGCAGGCGGUUUGCUAAGACCGAUGUGAAAUCCCCGGGCUCAACCUGGGAACUGCAUUGGUGACUGGCAGGCUAGAGUAUGGCAGAGGGGGGUAGAAUUCCACGUGUAGCAGUGAAAUGCGUAGAGAUGUGGAGGAAUACCGAUGGCGAAGGCAGCCCCCUGGGCCAAAUACUGACGCUCAUGCACGAAAGCGUGGGGAGCAAACAGGAUUAGAUACCCUGGUAGUCCACGCCCUAAACGAUGUCAACCAGUUGUUGGGGAUUCAUUUCCUUAGUAACGUAGCUAACGCGUGAAGUUGACCGCCUGGGGAGUACGGUCGCAAGAUUAAAACUCAAAGGAAUUGACGGGGUCAUAGCUGUUUCC
This 585-nucleotide ribosomal RNA is filed under the name uncultured bacterium. RNAcentral's name for it is "partial 16S ribosomal RNA". It matches the Rfam family "Bacterial small subunit ribosomal RNA", at positions 355 to 937 of the family's 1533-position model. The record is from RNAcentral.